UCUAGCCCGAAUAGCUUGAUUAGAUCUGCGACUCCAGUUUCAUCAAUACUGAAGACUUCUAGAAUUGUGCAUGUUGGUCAUGUCAAUGGGUUUACUCUGGUUGUUUUCGAGAAAAGAAUGGAAACUGUUUCCUACUUUGAGCAGUUUCAACUUCCAGCAGACUGUCAGUCUCAUACCAACAAUAAACCAUUUAUGGAGUUCCUUGAGCCUUUGGUGGAGCAAAAGCCAAUGGGAUUUGAGAAGAAGAUUACUUAUUUGCCUAAGUUUAUCAAUGCUGCCUCAAAGAAGCGGUUAGUGUACAUCGAUGUUGGGGCAGGGGAACAUCUGAACUCCAGUGCUAAAAGUUGGUUCUUGCCAUCGUAUCCUGUGGAUCGCAAAGCUUUUAAUGUUUAUUUUGUUGAUCAUAACACUUCAGUCAUGCUAUCUUAUGUCAAGAGGCCUGGUAUCACCUUUGUUUAUCAUCCAGACCUCGCUGGGAGUAAGGCUAAAGCCAAUCCUGAUACUUAUCAAGAUCCAAAUCCAUAUGGUGAGGAUGAUGGUUUCGACUUUCUUCUCUGGUUUAAAGAAACUGUGCACUUUGCAGAUUUCGUGGUUCUGAAGAUGAAUGCCGGAGAAGUAGAACUGAAAUUUCUCACCGAGUUGUUCAAAAGUGGAACCAUAUGCUUUGUUGAUGAGCUCUUUCUUCGCUGCUCAAAUCGUGCAGAUGCCAAAGAUGCAUCGGGUGGAAGCUGCAUGGACAUCUUCAAGAGUCUCAGAAGCAGUGGUGUGUUUGUUCAUCAGUGGUGGGAAGACUAAAAUCCAUUGUUGUUGAUGUUGUCUUCCAUAAACUAUCAUUGUGGUUUCCUUUUCAAGUGUUGUUGCUGCGUCUUCUUGUUUGUUUAUGUUCUGCAUCCAAGUUGCUUUGUGGUUGGGCACUUGUGCUAGUUAUGCUAAAUAAACAACCUCGAACUUUCUAUGUUAUUGAAUGAACCGUGUUGUCUGUUGUGUUCUUAAUUUGUUACUUCUUAGUUCUUAUGUGCUCCUCGACCAUUCGACACCAAAUCAAGGCUCAAAUUCCUCGAUGGUGUUACGAACCUAUGAAGCUGAAGAUGCUGAAUGAUCAGCAGGCUCAUAAGCUCUAGGAGAAUCCAACCUCAGCUGCAACUUUCAGCGAAUGAGGGCACAUUAUAUAAAGGGAUGUAAUGAAUGUUACACAACCAAUUCUCGAGAUGACAGCUUAAUUGAAAGCGACAACCAAUUCCAUGGCCCGACUGUAAGGGCGAGAAAACGUGACUCACUUCGUAUAAUUUGAAAUGUAAAAUUUGCAAAAUAACUGAACAUAAACACAGUUUUUAAAUAGGGGAUUGCUACUUUCCCUCUUCAGUAAUUAAUAUAUACCAUUUAUCCCCAUGCUAUUUUUAUAAUGGCCAAAAAUCACUCUGAUGGCAUAAAUUUACAAUAUUAUUUCAUCAAUACUGAAGACUUCUAGAAUUGUGCAUGUUGGUCAUGUCAAUGGGUUUACUCUGGUUGUUUUCGAGAAAAGAAUGGAAACUGUUUCCUACUUUGAGCAGUUUCAACUUCCAGCAGACUGUCAGUCUCAUACCAACAAUAAACCAUUUAUGGAGUUCCUUGAGCCUUUGGUGGAGCAAAAGCCAAUGGGAUUUGAGAAGAAGAUUACUUAUUUGCCUAAGUUUAUCAAUGCUGCCUCAAAGAAGCGGUUAGUGUACAUCGAUGUUGGGGCAGGGGAACAUCUGAACUCCAGUGCUAAAAGUUGGUUCUUGCCAUCGUAUCCUGUGGAUCGCAAAGCUUUUAAUGUUUAUUUUGUUGAUCAUAACACUUCAGUCAUGCUAUCUUAUGUCAAGAGGCCUGGUAUCACCUUUGUUUAUCAUCCAGACCUCGCUGGGAGUAAGGCUAAAGCCAAUCCUGAUACUUAUCAAGAUCCAAAUCCAUAUGGUGAGGAUGAUGGUUUCGACUUUCUUCUCUGGUUUAAAGAAACUGUGCACUUUGCAGAUUUCGUGGUUCUGAAGAUGAAUGCCGGAGAAGUAGAACUGAAAUUUCUCACCGAGUUGUUCAAAAGUGGAACCAUAUGCUUUGUUGAUGAGCUCUUUCUUCGCUGCUCAAAUCGUGCAGAUGCCAAAGAUGCAUCGGGUGGAAGCUGCAUGGACAUCUUCAAGAGUCUCAGAAGCAGUGGUGUGUUUGUUCAUCAGUGGUGGGAAGACUAAAAUCCAUUGUUGUUGAUGUUGUCUUCCAUAAACUAUCAUUGUGGUUUCCUUUUCAAGUGUUGUUGCUGCGUCUUCUUGUUUGUUUAUGUUCUGCAUCCAAGUUGCUUUGUGGUUGGGCACUUGUGCUAGUUAUGCUAAAUAAACAACCUCGAACUUUCUAUGUUAUUGAAUGAACCGUGUUGUCUGUUGUGUUCUUAAUUUGUUACUUCUUAGUUCUUAUGUGCUCCUCGACCAUUCGACACCAAAUCAAGGCUCAAAUUCCUCGAUGGUGUUACGAACCUAUGAAGCUGAAGAUGCUGAAUGAUCAGCAGGCUCAUAAGCUCUAGGAGAAUCCAACCUCAGCUGCAACUUUCAGCGAAUGAGGGCACAUUAUAUAAAGGGAUGUAAUGAAUGUUACACAACCAAUUCUCGAGAUGACAGCUUAAUUGAAAGCGACAACCAAUUCCAUGGCCCGACUGUAAGGGCGAGAAAACGUGACUCACUUCGUAUAAUUUGAAAUGUAAAAUUUGCAAAAUAACUGAACAUAAACACAGUUUUUAAAUAGGGGAUUGCUACUU
Molecule: long non-coding RNA, 2758 nt
Filed under: Citrus sinensis (sweet orange)
Lineage: Eukaryota; Viridiplantae; Streptophyta; Magnoliopsida; Sapindales; Rutaceae
Description: long non-coding RNA (CSIN_LNC002631)
Source: RNAcentral